This 301-nucleotide ribosomal RNA is filed under the name uncultured bacterium. RNAcentral describes it as "partial 16S ribosomal RNA". It matches the Rfam family "Bacterial small subunit ribosomal RNA", at positions 509 to 807 of the family's 1533-position model. The record is from RNAcentral.
CAGCCGCCGCGGGAAUACGUAGGUGGCAAGCGUUGUCCGGAAUUAUUGGGCGUAAAGGGCUCGCAGGCGGCUUCUUAAGUCUGAUGUGAAAGCCCCCGGCUCAACCGGGGAGGGCCAUUGGAAACUGGGAAACUUGAGUGCAGAAGAGGAGAGUGGAAUUCCACGUGUAGCGGUGAAAUGCGUAGAGAUGUGGAGGAACACCAGUGGCGAAGGCGACUUUCUGGUCUGUAACUGACGCUGAGGAGCGAAAGCGUGGGGAGCGAACAGGAUUAGAUACCCGAGUAGUCCCUGUCUCUUAUAC